Long non-coding RNA from Oncorhynchus kisutch (coho salmon), 3463 nucleotides. RefSeq lists it as uncharacterized. Lineage: Eukaryota; Metazoa; Chordata; Actinopteri; Salmoniformes; Salmonidae. The record is from RefSeq and is a predicted model, not a curated record. The transcript has 3 exons.
UGUGUGUCAUGUCAAGACGCUACUCCUAUGUUGUAUCGUUCCAUGUUCUUUGUUAUAUUAAACAUACCACCUGCACCUGCUUCUCGACUCCCAGCAUGUACGUUACAGAAUACUGCCUCACAAAAUGGAAGCAGCAGGAAAUCAGAACAUCUCCCAGACGGUCGCCAACCACGACCAGCUGGCACAACUAGGGACAACUAGUACGCAUUCACCUUCCAGACAGUAGCAGCAUCCAGCAGAUGGAAUGAACGGUGGUUCAUACGUUAUUCAGAAGAGGACUGCGGAAGGGGGUCCAGACAGAACUGGCCUGUCGAGACAACAACCUCUCCUUGGAUGCACUCAUGGCAAUGGCCAUCCAUCUGGAUAACCUACUUCGGGAGUGUCGGCAUCUCAUCACUUCUUUCCCUCCCUUAGUGAACACUUUAGAUCAGAGCCUGAACCCAUGGAGGUAGAGGUCACACACCAACCCGCAGUGGAACGACGCAGAUGGUAUGUCUCUAUUGUGGUCAAGUAGGGCUCCAGCAGUGUCCGGUACGUCCCAGCUCGGGAUCCAUGAGAGCAGAGAGACGAUCACGUGAUCUUCCACCUCCUGGGGCAGGUUGUUAGGGGAUUCCAGUGCCGCGGGGAAAUGUAUUGACCCGACCCUUGCCUCGUCUCUUAACAUCACCUCAUACCCGCUCUCCUCUCCUUUCCCGGUUCAAGCCCUCGAUACUCGGCCAUUAGGUUCCGGGGCCAUCACAAACAUCACCAAACCAUUCACCCUCACCAUGGAGUCCAUCCAUCAGGAGAACAUUCCCUUAAUCUCCAGUGCACCAGCUCACAAGAUCAUCCUCUGCCUCCUUUGGCUUCAACACCAUAACCCCACCAUCUCAUGGUCGAGGAUAAAAAUCAAGGACUGGGCACCCGUAUGCCAGAGGACCUGCCUUCACAUGUCGGUUGAGAGUCCUGUGGUUGCCCUUCAGCCCAACAUCUCAAAUGUAUACCAGGACCUGCGGGAGGUAUUUUCCAAAACCCGCGCUACCUGUCUCCCUCCUUAUUGCCCCAUGGGACUGUGCCAUCGACCUGCUUGCAGGCUCUGCGCUCCCGCACAGAUGGAUCUACCCUCUAUCGGUGACUGAAACCAAGGCCAUGGAGGACUACAUCCAUGAGGUUCUCCAACAAGGUUUCAUCCGCACGUUCACUUCUCCUGCAUCUGCAGGCUUCUUCUUUGUGGUCAAGAAGGAUGGAGGGUUAUGCCCGUGUGUGUAUUGGUUACAGAGGACUCAAUGAGAUCGCCACCAAGUAUCGUUAUCCUCUCCUGUUGGUGCCAGCAGCCAUCAAACAGCUCCACAGGGCCCGGUUCUUUACCAAAUUGGACCUGCGGAGUGCUUACAAUCUCAUCCGCAUCUGGGGGGGAUAAAUGGAAGACCGCUUGUCUGGUCACUACGAGAACUUGGUGAUGCCAUUUGUCUUAGCCAAUGCUCCGUCAGUUUUCCAGGCAUUCGUCAAAGGUCUUCCAAGACAUGAUCAGACGCCAGGUGCUCGUGUAUAUUGACGACAUCCUCGUCUACUCGGCUACCUUGGAGGAUCACAACGCUCACAUCCGAGUAGUCCUGGAACGCCUCCUAGCUAACCACCUGUUUGUCAAGGCUGGGAAGUGCCAGUUUCAUCAGGAGACGAGGCCUUCCACCUACUGAAGGACGUUUCACCUUCUUCUCUUUGCUCAAACAUCCAGAUCCCAUGAUACCCUUUGUGGUGGAGGUGGAUGCUUCAGAGAGAGGAAUUACGGUGACGGCGAUCAAGACCUCCUGGCGGUUAGGUUGGCAUUAGAGGAGUGGCGACACUGGCUGGAUGGCGCCAAGGACCACUUUGUCAUUCUCAAUGACCAUCGGAACCUGGGGUACAUACGGACAGCGAGGAUGCUAAAUCCACGGCAAGCAAGGUGGGCCCUUUUCUUUGCAAGAUUUGACUUCACGCCGGCCAUAUCGCCGAGGUUCAAAGAACACCAAAGCCGAUGCCCUGUCCCAUCUCUGCGAUUCGGGAGAGGGUGAUGUCCAGAGUGCAUCCAUAAUCCCUUCCUCUCGAGUUGUAGCCCCUGUGGUCUUGGAUGUAGAUGUGGACAUUCACCAGGCUCUGGGGACGGAGCCAGCAGCUGUUCUCCUGAGCGCAUCUACGUUUCCACAGGGAUAAAUGAUUGGCUGCUGACCUGGGUGUUACGUUACAUGUGGGUACAUUUUGUCAUUGCCUGUAAGAAUGUAUUUCACCAGCCACAUUGGAGGGUGGUUACACGUGGAGGGUGGUCAUCCAAAGCCCUUAUGUAGAAGUGGGUCGAAUAUCGUUUUGUUCACGUUAUAUCGUUUUGCCAGUUAUAUCGUUUUGUUCACACGCUAGGUUAUUUUUCAAUGUUAGUUUGAGUUUUCUGCAACUUUCUGCUGCUAAGAAGACAUUGCCACAUAUAGAACAAUGAGACAGAUAUUUCACCGGAUGUAUAAAUGUGAAACAUCCAGUUGGCAUUUCAACUCACUACCAAAUUUGGUAAUGAGAGAAAGCCCAGUGGCCAGCAGUGGGAGAGUGAAGCGAGAUGGAUUUUAGCCGACAUGCUGUUAAUUUACUCAUCAAUUAAACAUUUGAACACCAUACAGUUAUCUGCUUUCAAAACUAGAAUCUGUAACAAACAGAUUCUAGUUCUAGACUUUACCCUUUGCCAAAGUUUUUAAAAAAUGGUGUUGUUUAGGAGUGCAAGGGCGAAUUGAGUUAUAGCCCACGCAUACUUCACAGAGUAGUCGUUCCCUAAUGCCAAUAUGCUAGACCAUGCCAAUACGAUCUCACUAGCUUGUGCUUGGCUCUGCCCACCUCCUUGAUUGUUCUGCCCACCAUAUUUAAUUUGCUCCAAUUGGAAAUGAUAGGCAUUGGUGUAUCUUGGGCUAGUUAUAAAAAUAUUUGAUAUGGCAGUCUGAGAUUUGUUUUCAUCACAGACAGCCAAGUUACCACGGUAAUGGCAUGUCCCUUAAAGGGGCAGCUGAACAUUUUUGUAUCAUUUUUGUCACACCCCCAAAAAAGGAUUCAUUAACUUUUAGUAAUUUCUUAUCAAAACACUCAAAUACUUUAAUUGUUCUACUAGAUUUGUGUGCUUUGACAUUUCUACUUAGGAGCACAUCGUGUAGUCUACUCUUUGUAAAACAUGUCAGCUUAGAGACCUGAACUGUAAUAAUAAAUAUGCCCUCAGCAUUUUGUGGCUGGGAAGGCACUUUGAUGAUUCUUGAUGCUCAGUUGUAGAACUGUUGAUCUGUUUUGAUCUGUUUUUACUAUUGUAUCUAAAUGAUUUAUUUUAACAUACUGUUUAUUGGUAAAAAGGGCACAAAAAUGAAAUGAAAUGAAGCAAUAUAAGCAUUUACUUGUUUUAAAAACAUUAGAAAGCAUACUCAUCGGUUUUGUUUUGUUUUUUGUUGUUGUAAUUAUGGUGACAUUUUAAUUUUAAUUUUAA